GCCGGGCACAGUGGUGCAUGCCUGUAAUCCCAGCAGCUUGGACGCUGAGACAGGAGGAUCGCCAGUUCAAAGCCAGCCUUAGUAACAGCAAGGUGCUAAGCAACUCAGUGAGACCACGUCUCUA
This 124-nucleotide small RNA is filed under the name Marmota monax (woodchuck). The record is from RNAcentral. Lineage: Eukaryota; Metazoa; Chordata; Mammalia; Rodentia; Sciuridae.